GACGAACGCUGGCGGCGUGCUUAACACAUGCAAGUCGAACGGAAAGGCCCUGCUUUUGUGGGGUGCUCGAGUGGCGAACGGGUGAGUAACACGUGAGUAACCUGCCCUUGACUUUGGGAUAACUUCAGGAAACUGGGGCUAAUACCGGAUAGGAGCUCCUGCUGCAUGGUGGGGGUUGGAAAGUUUCGGCGGUUGGGGAUGGACUCGCGGCUUAUCAGCUUGUUGGUGGGGUAGUGGCUUACCAAGGCUUUGACGGGUAGCCGGCCUGAGAGGGUGACCGGCCACAUUGAGACUGAGAUACGGCCCAGACUCCUACGGGAGGCAGCAGUGGGGAAUAUUGCACAAUGGGCGGAAGCCUAAUGCAGCAACGCCGCGUGCGGGAUGACGGCCUUCGGAUUGUAAACCGCUUUCGCCUGUGACGAAGCGUGAGUGACGGUAAUGGGUAAAGAAGCACCGGCUAACUACGUG
RNAcentral lists this ribosomal RNA (468 nucleotides) under uncultured bacterium. RNAcentral's name for it is "partial 16S ribosomal RNA". It matches the Rfam family "Bacterial small subunit ribosomal RNA", at positions 28 to 507 of the family's 1533-position model. The record is from RNAcentral.